RNAcentral lists this ribosomal RNA (376 nucleotides) under uncultured organism. RNAcentral's name for it is "partial 16S ribosomal RNA". It matches the Rfam family "Bacterial small subunit ribosomal RNA", at positions 527 to 896 of the family's 1533-position model. The record is from RNAcentral.
GUAGGUGGCAAGCGUUGUCCGGAAUUAUUGGGCGUAAAGCGCGCGCAGGCGGUCCUUUAAGUCUGAUGUGAAAGCCCACGGCUCAACCGUGGAGGGUCAUUGGAAACUGGGGGACUUGAGUACAGAAGAGGAAAGCGGAAUUCCAAGUGUAGCGGUGAAAUGCGUAGAGAUUUGGAGGAACACCAGUGGCGAAGUCGGCUUUCUGGUCUGUAACUGACGCUGAGGCGCGAAAGCGUGGGGAGCAAACAGGGAUUAGAUACCCUGGUAGUCCACGCCGUAAACGAUGAGUGCUAAGUGUUAGGGGGUUUCCCGCCCCCUUAGUGCUGCAGCUAACGCAUUAAGCACUCCGCCGUGGGGAGUACGGCCCGCAAGGCUG